CAUUAGAUGACUGAAAGUAAGUAAAGAUCUCUUAAAUCUAAUUAUAGUAAAUAACGUAUACUUCUAAUGA
This 70-nucleotide transfer RNA is filed under the name Tenebrionoidea sp. 24 KM-2017. RNAcentral describes it as "tRNA-Lys". The record is from RNAcentral. Lineage: Eukaryota; Metazoa; Arthropoda; Insecta; Coleoptera.